RNAcentral lists this ribosomal RNA (459 nucleotides) under uncultured bacterium. RNAcentral's name for it is "bacterial SSU rRNA". It matches the Rfam family "Bacterial small subunit ribosomal RNA", at positions 339 to 791 of the family's 1533-position model. The record is from RNAcentral.
GUACGGGAGGCAGCAGUCGAGAAUUUUUCACAAUGGGCGAAAGCCUGAUGGAGCGACACCGCGUGGGGGAUGAAGGGUUUCGAUCCGUAAACCCCUGUCAUUUGCGAACAAACCUUCUCAUUUAAUAGAUGGGGAGUUGAUAGUAGUGAAAGAGGAAGGGACGGCUAACUCUGUGCCAGCAGCCGCGGUAAUACAGAGGUCCCAAGCGUUGUUCGGAUUCACUGGGCGUAAAGGGUGCGUAGGUGGUCGGAUAAGUUUGAUGUGAAAGCUCCGAGCUCAACUCGGAAAAGGCAUUAAAUACUAUUUGGCUGGAGGGUUGGAAGGGAGACUGGAAUUCUCGGUGUAGCAGUGAAAUGCGUAGAUAUCGAGAGGAACACCAGUGGCGAAGGCGAGUCUCUGGACAACUCCUGACACUGAGGCACGAAAGCUAGGGGAGCAAACAGGAUUAGAUACCCUGGU